This 663-nucleotide ribosomal RNA is filed under the name bacterium IMCC11689. Its description in RNAcentral is "bacterial SSU rRNA". It matches the Rfam family "Bacterial small subunit ribosomal RNA", at positions 28 to 739 of the family's 1533-position model. The record is from RNAcentral.
AACGAACGCUGGCGGCAGGCCUAACACAUGCAAGUCGAGCGCACCUUCGGGUGAGCGGCGGACGGGUUAGUAACGCGUGGGAACGUACCCUUUUCUACGGAAUAGCCUUUGGAAACGAAGAGUAAUACCGUAUACGCCCUUUGGGGGAAAGAUUUAUCGGAGAAGGAUCGGCCCGCGUUAGAUUAGAUAGUUGGUGGGGUAACGGCCUACCAAGUCUACGAUCUAUAGCUGGUUUUAGAGGAUGAUCAGCAACACUGGGACUGAGACACGGCCCAGACUCCUACGGGAGGCAGCAGUGGGGAAUCUUAGACAAUGGGCGCAAGCCUGAUCUAGCCAUGCCGCGUGAGUGAUGAAGGCCUUAGGGUCGUAAAGCUCUUUCGCCUGUGAUGAUAAUGACAGUAGCAGGUAAAGAAACCCCGGCUAACUCCGUGCCAGCAGCCGCGGUAAUACGGAGGGGGUUAGCGUUGUUCGGAAUUACUGGGCGUAAAGCGCACGUAGGCGGAUUGGAAAGUUGGGGGUGAAAUCCCGGGGCUCAACCCCGGAACUGCCUCCAAAACUAUCAGUCUAGAGUUCGAGAGAGGUGAGUGGAAUUCCAAGUGUAGAGGUGAAAUUCGUAGAUAUUUGGAGGAACACCAGUGGCGAAGGCGGCUCACUGGCUCGAUA